Molecule: ribosomal RNA, 495 nt
Filed under: uncultured bacterium
Lineage: Bacteria
Description: partial 16S ribosomal RNA
Rfam family: Bacterial small subunit ribosomal RNA
Source: RNAcentral
GGCGAACGCUGGCGGCGUGCCUAAUACAUGCAAGUAGAACGCUGAAGGAGGAGCUUGCUUCUCUGGAUGAGUUGCGAACGGGUGAGUAACGCGUAGGUAACCUGCCUGGUAGCGGGGGAUAACUAUUGGAAACGAUAGCUAAUACCGCAUAAGAGUAGAUGUUGCAUGACAUUUGCUUAAAAGGUGCAAUUGCAUCACUACCAGAUGGACCUGCGUUGUAUUAGCUAGUUGGUGAGGUAACGGCUCACCAAGGCAACGAUACAUAGCCGACCUGAGAGGGUGAUCGGCCACACUGGGACUGAGACACGGCCCAGACUCCUACGGGAGGCAGCAGUAGGGAAUCUUCGGCAAUAGACGGAAGUCUGACCGAGCAACGCCGCGUGAGUGAAGAAGGGUGUCGGAUCGUAAAGCUUUGUUGUAAGAGAAGAACGAGUGUGAGAGUGGAAAGUUCACACUGUGACGGUAUCUUACCAGAAAGGGACGGCUAACUACGUG